UUUCCUACCUAUCCUAGCUAAUUUACAAUACAAAACAUUAGUUGCAGAAGCAAUUUUCCCAAGAUAUAAAACGAAAUUGGAAACUAGGGAACAUGUUUUUUAGGACUGUCUUGUAACAAAGGAGAUCUGGGAUAAAUUACAGUUUGUAUGGUCACAGGAACUGUUAAAUCUAAAAUAUAUGGAGUGGAUUACCUAUGUUCUGGCGUAUAAACCCAGUGAUUGGUGUUGAACCUUUGUUUGUACUUUAUGGGAAAUUUGGACCGAGAGGAAUAAAUGGCUGCGUGAUGGACAAAAAAGAUCAAGGUCAAGUAUCGCAAACUUCAUUAAAAGCUAUAUUCGAGAAUUGGAUGAGUUGGAGAAGAAGUUACCAAUCAAGAGUCGAGCCAGUGAAAGAUGGUGACCAUUGGAUUCAUCAGUUUUCAAAAUAAACUUUGAUGUUGUAUUUAAUAAUAGAGAAAGCAGGUCUUGUUUGGGAAUGGUGUUACGAGAUUCAAAUAGAGAGAUUUUGAAAUCGAAGAUAGUGAUAAAUGAGGAUAUACUUUCAAUGUUUGCGGCGGAGGCCAUUGCAUGUGUGCAAGUGGUUACACUAAGCAAUGAUUUAGGUUUAACGAUGGUGGAGAUAGAAGGGGACACACUAUUAGUGGUCAAGGAAGUCCAAAGCGAUGGGGUGAAUAGAUUAGAAAUUGGAGCCUACAUUAAGGAUGCGAAACAUUAGGUGAGGGUUUUCAAAAAUAUAGAUUCAAAUGGGUUGGGGGAGGCAAAUGGACUCAUUCUUUGGCAAAUGAAGGGUUAAAGAGGGGAGAACAAAUGUACCUGCAAAAUGAAGUACCUAACUUCGGAAUAGUAGCAACGGAGAAUGAUCGGGGUUGGGAAAGAGAUCUGGAUUUGAGGCGACAUCGAUGAGAACUAGAACGGGAAGUUUUCGUUGGAGAAGGUAUGGGGAAUGUGAAGAAUGCAAAAAGUUUUUCUCCAAAAGCUAUUGUUGAUUCAAGUCAGUUUAGAGGCUUCUAGAACCUGACAGCUCAUUGUUGGAUUAGUUUAUUUAUUUUUGUUGUAUUUUCUUUAUUUUAUUUUAUUGUGUGAUUGUUGUUUAUGCCCAACGGAUUAGAGUGGGCUUUUUUUUUUUGUUUUUUUGUUAUUAUUCAAUCCAACUUAUACUUCUCAAAAAAAAAAAAAAAGAAGAAGAA
Molecule: long non-coding RNA, 1187 nt
Filed under: Gossypium barbadense (sea-island cotton)
Lineage: Eukaryota; Viridiplantae; Streptophyta; Magnoliopsida; Malvales; Malvaceae
Description: long non-coding RNA (GBAR_LNC016369)
Source: RNAcentral